GGGGUAGUAACUCAGUGGUAGAGUGUUCGCUUUGCAGUGCCGUCUCCGAUGGUUCGAAGAUGCGAAAAGCCCAGGGUUCAAUCCCCUGCUACUCCA
Non-coding RNA from Borealophlyctis nickersoniae, 96 nucleotides. Lineage: Eukaryota; Fungi; Chytridiomycota; Chytridiomycetes; Rhizophlyctidales; Borealophlyctidaceae. The record is from the annotation of a GenBank genome assembly.